UACGGAGGGUGCAAGCGUUAAUCGGAAUUACUGGGCGUAAAGGGUGCGUAGGUUGUUUGAUAAGUUAGUUGAGAAAUACCUGGGCUUAACCUAGGUGCUAUGAUUAAGACUGUUAAACUAGAGUAUGAGAGAGGGUAGUGGAAUUUCCGGUGUAGCGGUGAAAUGCGUAGAGAUCGGAAGGAACACCAGUGGCGAAGGCGGCUACCUGGCUUAAUACUGACACUGAGGCACGAAAGCGUGGGUAGCAAACAGG
Molecule: ribosomal RNA, 253 nt
Filed under: uncultured bacterium
Lineage: Bacteria
Description: partial 16S ribosomal RNA
Rfam family: Bacterial small subunit ribosomal RNA
Source: RNAcentral